RNAcentral lists this ribosomal RNA (398 nucleotides) under uncultured bacterium. Its description in RNAcentral is "partial 16S ribosomal RNA". It matches the Rfam family "Bacterial small subunit ribosomal RNA", at positions 523 to 918 of the family's 1533-position model. The record is from RNAcentral.
AUACGUAGGGUGCGAGCGUUGUCCGGAAUUACUGGGCGUAAAGAGCUCGUAGGUGGUUUGUCGCGUCGUCUGUGAAAUUCCGGGGCUUAACUCCGGGCGUGCAGGCGAUACGGGCAUAACUUGAGUACUGUAGGGGAGACUGGAAUUCCUGGUGUAGCGGUGAAAUGCGCAGAUAUCAGGAGGAACACCGGUGGCGAAGGCGGGUCUCUGGACAGUAACUGACGCUGAGGAGCGAAAGCAUGGGUAGCGAACAGGAUUAGAUACCCUGGUAGUCCAUGCCGUAAACGGUGGGCGCUAAGUGUAGGGGUCUUCCACGACUUCUGUGCCGUAGCUAACGCAUUAAGCGCCCCGCCUGGGGAGUACGGCCGCAAGGCUAAAACUCAAAUGAAUUGACGGGG